Gavialis gangeticus (Gharial) is the source of this 182-nucleotide long non-coding RNA. RefSeq lists it as uncharacterized. The record is from RefSeq and is a predicted model, not a curated record. The transcript has 3 exons. NCBI's taxonomy places the organism in Eukaryota, Metazoa, Chordata, Crocodylia, Gavialidae.
AGGAAUAACUGGAAAGCGUAAAGAAAGGCAUAGCUAAGCUGUGGGAGUGAAGAGGAAGUCAAAACACAUUCAGUGUAAUGGCUCACUAUGACUUGAAAAAAGAGUUGGCACUGAGGGGGAUUGAGUGCAAUGGGUACUACCAUUUAUCUUAUUCAGGUGGGCUAAAAAGAAUUAUGAGAGGC